RNAcentral lists this ribosomal RNA (407 nucleotides) under uncultured bacterium. RNAcentral's name for it is "partial 16S ribosomal RNA". It matches the Rfam family "Bacterial small subunit ribosomal RNA", at positions 29 to 526 of the family's 1533-position model. The record is from RNAcentral.
AGCGAACGCUGGCGGCAGGCCUAACACAUGCAAGUCGAACGGAGUGGCGGACGGGUGAGUAACACGUGGGAACGUGCCCUUUGGUUCGGACCAACUCAGGGAAACUUGAGCUAAUACCGGAUGCCAUUGGAGCGGCCCGCGUCUGAUUAGCAAGGUGGUGAGGUAAAGGCUAACCAAGGCGACGAUCAGUAGCUGGUCUGAGAGGAUGAUCAGCCACAUUGGGACUGAGCCACGGCCCAAACUCAUACGGGAGGCAGCAGUGGGGAAUCUAGCGCAAUGGGCGAAAGCCUGACGCAGCCAGGCCGCGUGAAUGAUGAAGGUCUUAGGAUUGUAAAAUUCUUUCAUCGGGGACGCGGUACCCGGAGAAGAAGCCCCGGCUAACUUCGUGCCAGCAGCCGCGGUAAUAC